Molecule: long non-coding RNA, 224 nt
Organism: Callorhinchus milii (elephant shark)
Lineage: Eukaryota; Metazoa; Chordata; Chondrichthyes; Chimaeriformes; Callorhinchidae
Exons: 3
Source: RefSeq, a predicted model, not a curated record
CGAGACGCUUUAAGAAAGCAUGUUCAAUCAUCGACCUCACUAACCAGGUUGGAACAAAUCUAUUCCAAAUCUCAAGAAAACUCAAUGGGUAAAUAAGGUGAUUGACAAUAUUCAGUGGAAGAUGGAUUUGUUGCAUUUGUUGGAAUUUCCAUAUGUGGGAGAGGUGCAUGGAACGAUGUUUGUUUUGGAUACUCUUAAGCAUGAUGAUGGGUUUCCUCAUGUGU